Molecule: ribosomal RNA, 683 nt
Filed under: uncultured Actinomycetales bacterium
Lineage: Bacteria; Bacillati; Actinomycetota; Actinomycetes; Actinomycetales
Description: bacterial SSU rRNA
Rfam family: Bacterial small subunit ribosomal RNA
Source: RNAcentral
CGAACGGAAAGGCCCUGCUUGCAGGGUACUCGAGUGGCGAACGGGUGAGUAACACGUGGGUGAUCUGCCCUGCACUUCGGGAUAAGCUUGGGAAACUGGGUCUAAUACCGGAUAGGACCGCACUUUAGUGUGUGUGGUGGAAAGUUUUUUCGGUGUAGGAUGAGCUCGCGGCCUAUCAGCUUGUUGGUGGGGUAAUGGCCUACCAAGGCGGCGACGGGUAGCCGGCCUGAGAGGGUGUACGGCCACAUUGGGACUGAGAUACGGCCCAGACUCCUACGGGAGGCAGCAGUGGGGAAUAUUGCACAAUGGGCGCAAGCCUGAUGCAGCGACGCCGCGUGGGGGAUGAAGGCCUUCGGGUUGUAAACUCCUUUCGCUAGGGACGAAGCUUUUUGUGACGGUACCUAGAUAAGAAGCACCGGCUAACUACGUGCCAGCAGCCGCGGUAAUACGUAGGGUGCGAGCGUUGUCCGGAAUUACUGGGCGUAAAGGGCUCGUAGGUGGUUUGUCGCGUCGUCUGUGAAAUUCUGGGGCUUAACUCCGGGCGUGCAGGCGAUACGGGCAUAACUUGAGUGCUGUAGGGGUAACUGGAAUUCCUGGUGUAGCGGUGAAAUGCGCAGAUAUCAGGAGGAACACCGAUGGCGAAGGCAGGUUACUGGGCAGUUACUGACGCUGAGGAGCGAAAG